UUCUACUGGUUCAUGGUUCAUAGUUGAGGG
Molecule: non-coding RNA, 30 nt
Filed under: Rattus norvegicus (Norway rat)
Lineage: Eukaryota; Metazoa; Chordata; Mammalia; Rodentia; Muridae
Source: RNAcentral